CCACCGUAAGGUGGAGAGGGAGGUGGGGAUGACGUCAAUCAGCACGGCCCUUAUGUCCAGGGCUACACACGUGUUACAAUGGUCGGUACAGAGGGCAGCUACCUGGUGACAGGAUGCUAAUCUCGAAAACCGGUCUCAGUUCGGAUCGAAGUCUGCAACUCGACUUCGUGAAGCUGGAUUCGCUAGUAAUCGCGCAUCAGCUAUGGCGCGGUGAAUACGUUCCCGGGCCUU
RNAcentral lists this ribosomal RNA (231 nucleotides) under uncultured Sphingobacteriales bacterium. RNAcentral's name for it is "partial 16S ribosomal RNA". It matches the Rfam family "Bacterial small subunit ribosomal RNA", at positions 1152 to 1382 of the family's 1533-position model. The record is from RNAcentral. Lineage: Bacteria; Pseudomonadati; Bacteroidota; Sphingobacteriia; Sphingobacteriales.